AACCCACCUCCCGAUAGCUAUCUAGCAUUUAUAUUAUUGGUAUGGUGUCUUAUCCUGCAUAUGCAUGUGACAGUAGGGAGUUGUUGCUGGUUCGCCUGGGGCGUAAAACCCACCUCCCAAUAGCUGUCUUGUUGAUGAUUCAGCAUAUUGACACCUGAUUUGUAUAUUCCAGCAUUAUGAUCUGUUGAAUAUAUUCAUGAGUAGUAUAUAUGUUUACUCGAUUAUUCCAUAUAUGCUUCAGAUGAGUUGAUUGUGAUUGUGGUGAUUUUGAUGAUUUACUCCAUAUUCUUUAUGUUGAGUUCAUGUUCAUCUUGUUAUUGAUCUUGAGAUUUCACCUCGAGCCAUGAUUAUAUUUUGUCUCAUGUGCAUAGUACUCUCUACUCCACUCACUGAGUAUUUAUAUACUCACUUCCCAGUUUGGUGUUUUUGAUUGCAGGGCAGGUAUUGUAUAGAGAAGAGCAGGGUUAGAGAUUGCCUGCUAGCUGUGCCGCUCCAUAGUAUAGUAUAGUAUAAUGUAGAUAGAGGCCUAUACCUUUUGUUGUAUUAUAAACCUUCUAUUGUAUAUAGUGCAUAGUUACAGUCAUAGAUCCUGUUGUGGAUAUGGGUUGGACCAUGGAUGGAUUGGAAAGCAGGUAUAUAUAUAUAUGUGUGCAAAUCAGUUGUGUGCCUGUGAUAAUGUAUUGCUAUAUAUUGUCCAGGUUUAUUAUGUGACAGAUUAUGUGAUUAAUGCUCUGACAGGUAGUGUGUUGUAUGUAUUGAGAUAAUCCUGACAGGUCAUNNNNNNNNNNNNNNNNNNNNNNNNNNNGUAUCAUGCCAAAUUUUUCAAGAUCUAUUGAUGAUUGAUAGGUAGUAGGGUUCUACGCGGUGGCUGGUGGCCUUAUGCCUACCCGCACCCUAGGACCGUCGCGGCGGCCCGCCGGAAACGGGGCGGGGGUCGUGACACUCGAGCUUAGAGGCUCCUAGGUGAAGAACACCAGCCGAGACGCUACACGAGUAGAAGUAGAGGCCCAGGUGCCCCGAGCUAUCAAGGACCCAUUUGAUAG
Molecule: long non-coding RNA, 1043 nt
Filed under: Phoenix dactylifera (date palm)
Lineage: Eukaryota; Viridiplantae; Streptophyta; Magnoliopsida; Arecales; Arecaceae
Description: long non-coding RNA (PDAC_LNC002698)
Source: RNAcentral